RNAcentral lists this transfer RNA (71 nucleotides) under human gut metagenome. It matches the Rfam family "tRNA". From Rfam's summary of the family: Transfer RNA (tRNA) molecules are approximately 80 nucleotides in length. Their secondary structure includes four short double-helical elements and three loops (D, anti-codon, and T loops). The record is from RNAcentral. RNAcentral also lists the same sequence under 1 other name.
GACGAUAGCUCAGUCGGUAGUAGCAUCGCACUUUUAAUGCGGUGGUCGCGGGUUCGAGUCCCGCUCGUCCC